This 555-nucleotide long non-coding RNA is filed under the name Cyanistes caeruleus (blue tit). RNAcentral describes it as "lncRNA (ENSCCEG00000013357.1)". Lineage: Eukaryota; Metazoa; Chordata; Aves; Passeriformes; Paridae. The record is from RNAcentral.
GUUCUGAUGCAAAAGGAGAAUAUGGGGCCAUGUCCAUGCGUGACAGUGUGGGAAGAUGGUAUUUCUCCACAACUGGAAAUACUACUGAUUGGAGAGAGGAUUUUUGGAUAUGGCAUGUUGUCUCCUGGAGAUUAGUGUGAAACUCCAUAUCUUUUCUCUGUCUGAUCUCAUUACAGUCAGCUCUCUAGGGGUGAAAAGUGCCUGUUGUUCCAGUUUAGAACUGUCACCCUUCACUCCCAUCCCUACAAAACCUACAAUGAUACUUUACAAAGGAAGUUUAAAGAAGAGAUUGAGGAGAAAUAACCAACUACAGAGGUCCAGAAGGUCCUUCCAGACUUGUGUCAUCUCUCAGAGAAGUCCACCAGUAUGAAAAAGAGUUCAAUAAGAGAAAAGAGUUCAAUAUGAAGCUAACCUUUAACCAGAGAAAUUUGGGGAACAUAGAAAGCCAAUCUCAGUUUACAGUGUUGUGUUUCUUGUAUUGUUACCUUAAAAUUACAGUCCACUUUCUGUUAGAGAAUAUGCAUGGAAGUUCUCCUGAUGCAAAACCAGUCCCAG